This 798-nucleotide ribosomal RNA is filed under the name uncultured Phenylobacterium sp. RNAcentral describes it as "bacterial SSU rRNA". It matches the Rfam family "Bacterial small subunit ribosomal RNA", at positions 69 to 912 of the family's 1533-position model. The record is from RNAcentral. Lineage: Bacteria; Pseudomonadati; Pseudomonadota; Alphaproteobacteria; Caulobacterales; Caulobacteraceae.
CGGCUCUUCGGAGCAGUUGGCGGACGGGUGAGUAACGCGCUGGGAAUGUGCCCUUUGGUACGGAACAACACAGGGAAACUUGUGCUAAUACCGUAUGUGCCCUUCGGGGGAAAGAUUUAUCGCCAUUGGAGCAGCCCGCGUUGGAUUAGGUAGUUGGUGAGGUAAAGGCUCACCAAGCCGACGAUCCAUAGCUGGUCUGAGAGGAUGAUCAGCCACACUGGGACUGAGACACGGCCCAGACUCCUACGGGAGGCAGCAGUAGGGAAUCUUGCGCAAUGGGCGAAAGCCUGACGCAGCCAUGCCGCGUGUAUGAUGAAGGUCUUAGGAUUGUAAAAUACUUUCACCGGGGAAGAUAAUGACGGUACCCGGAGAGGAAGCCCCGGCUAACUUCGUGCCAGCAGCCGCGGUAAUACGAAGGGGGCUAGCGUUGCUCGGAAUUACUGGGCGUAAAGGGCGCGUAGGCGGACAGUUUAGUCAGAGGUGAAAGCCCAGGGCUCAACCUUGGAAUUGCCUUUGAUACUGGCUGUCUUGAGUUCGGGAGAGGUGAGUGGAAUGCCGAGUGUAGAGGUGAAAUUCGUAGAUAUUCGGCGGAACACCAGUGGCGAAGGCGACUCACUGGCCCGAUACUGACGCUGAGGCGCGAAAGCGUGGGGAGCAAACAGGAUUAGGUACCCUGGUAGUCCACGCCGUAAACGAUGAGUGCUAGUUGUCGGCAUGCAUGCAUGUCGGUGACGCAGCUAACGCAUUAAGCACUCCGCCUGGGGAGUACGGUCGCAAGAUUAAAACUCAAAGGAAUUG